UUUAUUGAGAAUUUGAUCUUGGUUCAGAUUGAAUGCUGACGGCGUGGAUGAGGCAUGCAAGUCGAACGGGACCAUAGGGCAACCUGUGGUCUAGUGGCGGAAGGGUUAGUAAUACAUGAAUAACUUGCCUCUAACCUGGGGACAACGGCUGGAAACGGCCGCUAAUACCGAAUGAGGUGCUUGAAGGAAACUUCGUAGCAUCAAAGUGGGGGCCCACUUUUAGUGGCCUUGCGGUUAGAGAGAGGUUCAUGGGAUAUCAGCUAGUUGGUGUGGUAAUGGCGCACCAAGGCUAAGACGUCUAGGCG
This 305-nucleotide ribosomal RNA is filed under the name Parachlamydiales bacterium. Its description in RNAcentral is "partial 16S ribosomal RNA". It matches the Rfam family "Bacterial small subunit ribosomal RNA", at positions 1 to 289 of the family's 1533-position model. Lineage: Bacteria; Pseudomonadati; Chlamydiota; Chlamydiia; Parachlamydiales. The record is from RNAcentral.